CCUUCCAUAAAGACUGCUCUCAGCCAAGCCCCCGAUAGAUGUGGUGCAGCAGUGAGUUUAAGAUUAUGCUUCCUGGCAAGUACCCAGCAUGCACCGCUCCACACUGGCAGUUAUAAAUGGAACCACACGCCUGAGCCAACAUUGUGUGUUGACCUUGAGAAGCCUGACAAGGACAGGUGUCUGCGUAGGAACCCUCCGCUCCGCUGAGGAGUGCCAAGUUUAUCCUGAAAAAAUAACUUAGCAUCCCGCUCAGCACAGAUCGACCAGCGCCGAAAAGCUCACAUCUGUUUCGCCGAGCACGGCCACACUGAUUGUAGCCCGGGAGUUCCUUAAGGUCCACACGCCCAAACCCAGCGUCUCAACAAAGCCCUGGCAGACGGUUCAGCACUGAGGUGUGUGCUUCCCUGCGAAGGGUCUCAGUGCCCUUGAGGCCCUGCCCUUGAGCCCCUUGGCCUGCCUCAGUUCACUGGCAGCUGCAGUGAGCACUUCCUGUGCAUACAGACGGCUCCUGUGUUCAAAUACCUGCCUCUCUGCUUCCUGCCCACCUGCGCUCACGCUGGAGGUUGCUCAGCCUGUCCCCAGGGAAGCCCAGAAGAGAACUGCGGGUUCGAUGACUCCAGGGCAAACCCAACCAGUCAGGAAUGAGAGCCACCCGAUAAACAGCCCAGCCUGCCCACUCCUCAGUGCGACAUGUUCCAGGCUGGUCCGUGCAAUGCUAAAGGAGACCCCUGAUGGGCCCGAGCCCCAGCUGCCCACAGUGGUAACCAGCUCUCACUUCCCACUCCCCUGCCUGUGUUUCCCAGAAUCCCCUCCCGGAUCAAGUACCUGCCUCCAACGCCUGUCUCAGCUUCUGUGGUUGGGGGACCCAGAUGAGCCAUGUGUCCUUCAAAGAGUGUAUUUACAAAUUACACAAAGAAUUCGUCAACUCACGUGACCUACCCUAGGGGAUUUCUGUUCGUUAGCCUGUUAAAAGUUGAACAAUAUCCACCAAAGUUAAGACCAUUGGCUUACAAAAAAAAAAAAAAAAAAAAAGUUUAAAUGUUACCCUGAUAUGUUCUGGAAAGAAUUAUAGGGAGGGGCCAACUGUCUGUUAAGACCACUUGAAGACUGCAACAGCAAUACCAUACCCCGCAUCUUAAGAAAAUAAUCUAUGAACAAUGGAUGGCUCUUGCCAUAUUGUGUUACAAUUUCCCGAAUAUAUCUGUCUCUCCUGCAUAUGGUGAGUUGUAGGAGGGGAAACAGGGGACAUCCCUCCUUAUUAACUAUUAACAGGGUUAAUAGUCUUCCAAAAUAUCAGCCUUCUCAAAUGGUCUGUUUGCUUCUCUCUGCAUGUCCAAGGGGGAAAAGGUUUCUAUAGAAAAAAGAGGAAAUCAGGCCAAGAUAGCUCCGCGAGCUCCAUCCGAGCGUUGCAUGCCAAGCAGGCUGGAGUUUCAGGUGUAUGUUGUAAGUCUGACUUCCUUUCUCUGGGACCUGAAUGCAGUAAUAACCGCCCUGCUUGUCCCCUCCAGCGUCCACGCUCAGCCCUGUAACCUUCCGGAAGCCUCCCACUCAGCCUCUGAGCUUGGCCGUGAGCCUUCCUUUGGCCAAUGAGAUGUUGGUAGACUUGGACACAUGGAGAGGCUUGAAAAAGCGCUUGGCCUUUCUGCUCGCCUGUGCACCCCCUCCUUGCACUGAGAACGGGCUUGGGCUAGCUUGCUGGAGAACAAAAAGCUACACAAAGCAGAGCGGCGUCCCAAGCAUUCCAGCCAGCGCCCUCCCAGGCCAGCGGACAGUCAGCUAAGCCUCCGGCACAUGAGCGAGCCCAGCCAAGGCCAGCAAAACCACCCCGCUGACCUGCAGACCCAUGAGCUUCGAUACCAGGGGCUCCUGGCAGUCCCACCAGUGGAAGAAAACAACGGGCACGCUUUCCUCCAGGGCCACACGCCCGUAAAGGAUGAAGAACCAGCCCUCGGAAAAAUGUCUGCCAAGGAAAGGAGACGGCCUCACGAUGAAAAGUUAACCAAUACGUCCGCCCAUGGUUUUCCUGGUAAAUACUGGAUCUUUCUCCCGGUGAACUUAGGAGCUGGUGUACUUGGAACACCUGGAGGCUCCCGGGGAAGAAAUCGGCUGGUACUUGCAGAACAGCAGGUGGAGCCCAAACUAUACAAUCAGCACGCUCUGCACACCAACGUGGCAAGCUAGGUCAUUGCUCCAAAAGACUGUACUUUCUUGCCCCAUCGAUGACAGCCUCGGCCCCAUGACUUGCUUUGGCCAACGACCUUCACGUCAAAGUGAUAUGUGUCAUUGCUGAACCAACCUGAGGAAGCACCUCCUGACUCCCCACCUCCCUCGACAGAAUGCCACCUCUCCCUCCUCGCACUCGCGCUCGGGGCGUGUCUUCCUGGUGUGACUGGGACCCUCUGGACUUCCAGCCGCAGAAGGUGGUGACCCUGUCACCCACCCACCAGCCAGAUGCAGGGCACAGGGCACGGGCUGCGGGUGAGUCGCCUCAGUGUUCCUCACGGCAUCUGUCCCAGCUCACAUACGGCAGGUGGUGAACAUAUUUACUUGUUGAAUCGAGGGACGCACACGUGCCAGUGGUUUGAACCACAGAGUAGCAGCUGGGAUGUCCUUUUUCCGUCCCCUCUCUCUCGGGCCACCCUGAGACCAGUUCUAAGUCUACAAAGAAUCACAAUGGUUUGUGAAGGGGGGAGAUUUCCACGCGCCUGUAGAACCCCGUCAUCUGACAUUUAUACCUAUGUUCUGCUUCUUUCCACAAUUCAUUCUGUUUUUCCACUCUUUACUCCCAGCUAAUGGAAAAACGGAUUGUAAAAUGGGCCAAUGUAUUACAGGAAACUUCUCCAGCCCAGAAAAAAAAAAAAAGAGGGACCCCUCAGAGGACGGGGAUAACACUGCUCUCCGGCGGGUGGAAGAUUGAGGGCCGGCGUUUCCAACGUGCUGUACUUGGCUGCCCCCUCGCGACGCAAUGUCGCCAGCCUGGUCUUCGUCUGAGACCCCGAGAGGCCGUGAAAGCUGUCUGCACGGGAAAUACGCACAAAGGGAGAAGCGGGAGAGAGAAAGGGGACAGAUCUGUUUCACUCUCAAUGGACACGUCACGGGAACAUUCUCCGUCGUAUUUCCUGGGUCAGCGAAGGAGGCGGGGUUUUGCUCCUCUCCUUGCUCUGGAACCUGCCUCUGUUUUUCUGAGAGAAAGGGUUUUCUUAUAGCUACUCUCUUCCCAGUAGGUUCUCCACCUACUUGCCCCUCUAAGCCGAAGACUGGUCUCCCCCUCGGACCUCCUGGAGCUGGGGACUGUGACUUUUAGGGCUCGGAGGGACCGAUCAAUAGUUGACAGGACUCUUCUGGAGGGCAGACACCCUGGCGAUCUCUGUCCUCUGCUAUUUCAGAUCUCCCAUUAAGGAUUCUCAAUGAAAUUGCAGAAUCCAAUUGGUGAAGCAGCUCCCAGCCCGAGACGGGGGAAGGAAUUUCUGACGUGAAGCGGGCUUUCUAACCUGGAGUCCAUGUUUACAGGACGCAGGUGCACCUCAGAGCAGUGAGGUGGGUGGCUGUGGGGCUCCCUCUGACACUGGGGGACGACCCCUGGGGGCCACCCACAUGCGUUUCCCUGCUGCCCCUUCUUGCUUCCCUCCAUCCCUGUAUCUCACCUCCUCCCACACCACCAGCAAGGCAGGACAAAUGUUUUCACUUGAGAAGAACCUGAAUCCACGGGAGGUCAAUUAUACGCCAAAGUCUACGCAUCCUGUUAGUGCAGGACUGGGAUCCAGCUUUGCACAGGCACAGAUUUGGUUUUCAUCCCUGUUCCUGGCACAGAGUUCCAGAAGCCCUUGGAAUUUCCUAAGUGCUGAGAGCCCUAAAGGUGUCUUUUGUUAUGUUAAUGAAGCGACUUCUGGAAAGCACCUGAGAAUGGGGCUGGUUGCCAGGGGGAAGCAACCGUGUGAUUGGGAGGUUGGAAAUUCCAGUCCCACCCCCACCCCCACCCCAAACCUCCAGGGAGGGGAGAGGGGCCGGGGGUGGGAUCAAUUUAAAGAAUCACGCCUCUGUAACGAAGCCUCCAGAAAAACCCGAAAGGUUGGCGUUCGGGGUUGGGAGAGCCCCCGGGUUGAUGGGCACGUGGAGUUGCAGGGAGAGUGGGUGCUGGGAGAGCUUGGCCCCGCGCCCUUUCCCCACGCCUUGCCCUGGGAUGUUCCUGAAUUGUAUCCUAUGCAGUAAACCAGCAAUCUAGUAAGAAAAAUGUUUCUCUGAGAUCUUUGAGCCUGCUCCAGCAAAUUACUCAAACCCUAAGAGGGGAUCGUUGGAACCUUCAAGCUAUAGCCAGUGGGCCAGACCAUAGGUGACCACUUGGCCUUGUGAUUGGCAUCUGAAGGGGCUGGGGAGGCAGUCUUGUGGGACUGAGCCCUUGACCCAUGGAACCUGACGCUCUCUCCCGGUAGACAGUGUCAGAAUUGAGCUCAACUGUAGGACACCCAGCUGGUAUCUUUACCCACUUACGAUUCAUCCUGGGGCUGGACACUGGCCACCCUCCCCAAAUUUGGGAUUUGGGGAUUAGCAAGGAGGAGGAAAGAAUGGCUGCCAAUGCGGCUACUUUGGGGAGUGGGUUCAGGCUACAGCAAGGUGUCAGGGAUGGGAGCUCAUACGGUUCUCUGGGGAGACUCCGACCAGAGUCCCGGGGAAGGAUGGAAUGAUGUUCAACUGACCUCGUGGCUCUUCGGACGAGGCUCGUCGCUGUCAUGGAUGAAAGGGGUGAGGCCAAGGGCUCGUGACGCGUGCACGGAAGGUUCAGAAAUCACAUGAGACGUCUGCAUAACCAGCACCGGGGGCGCGCCACAAAGGAAAAGAAUAGAAGCCUGGCUCUCCGGACCCUGUGGCCUCAUGUGAACUUCUUAAACAGAAGAUGGAGAGCCGAGAUUUUUAAAAGGAAAAGCAACUCAGGUGUGAGUUGGGGAGGACACUU
Long non-coding RNA from Felis catus (domestic cat), 4951 nucleotides. RefSeq lists it as uncharacterized. Lineage: Eukaryota; Metazoa; Chordata; Mammalia; Carnivora; Felidae. The record is from RefSeq and is a predicted model, not a curated record. The transcript is spliced from 3 exons.